This 497-nucleotide ribosomal RNA is filed under the name uncultured bacterium. RNAcentral describes it as "partial 16S ribosomal RNA". It matches the Rfam family "Bacterial small subunit ribosomal RNA", at positions 28 to 507 of the family's 1533-position model. The record is from RNAcentral.
GAUGAACGCUGGCGGCGUGCCUAAUACAUGCAAGUCGAGCGAACAGACGAGGAGCUUGCUCCUCUGACGUUAGCGGCGGACGGGUGAGUAACACGUGGAUAACCUACCUAUAAUACUGGGAUAACUUCGGGAAACCGGAGCUAAUACCGGAUAAUAUAUUGAACCGCAUGGUUCAAUAGUGAAAGACGGCUUUGCUGUCACUUAUAGAUGGAUCCGCGCCGCAUUAGCUAGUUGGUAAGGUAACGGCUUACCAAGGCAACGAUGCGUAGCCGACCUGAGAGAGGGAUCGGCCACACUGGAACUGAGACACGGUCCAGACUCCUACGGGAGGCAGCAGUAGGGAAUCUUACGCAAUGGGCGAAAGCCUGACGGAGCAACGCCGCGUGAGUGAUGAAGGUCUUCGGAUCGUAAAACUCUGUUAUUAGGGAAGAACAAAUGUGUAAGUAACUAUGCACGUCUUGACGGUAACUAAUCAGAAAGCCACGGCUAACUACGUG